Etheostoma cragini (Arkansas darter) is the source of this 675-nucleotide long non-coding RNA. RefSeq lists it as uncharacterized. Lineage: Eukaryota; Metazoa; Chordata; Actinopteri; Perciformes; Percidae. The transcript is spliced from 2 exons. The record is from RefSeq and is a predicted model, not a curated record.
CAUCCAUACAUGUGUCAGGGAUAUUCUGAUUUCUGGACCUAUCCAGCUCAGAUUGGAUCAUUUUAGUAAGUCCGAUCUAUCCUCUUCUUUCCCUUUGAUUCGUUUUCUCUGCUCUCCAUUCUACCACUUUUUGUCUCUCCCAUUCUCCUGCAUCCUUCUCCUUCUCCUUCAGUGCAGUGUAUCACCGGUGCUUGGCUGGCCUCUGCGUAAACCCUGGGCUCGUUCAACAGCCCUGCUUACUCUCACCCUCGGCCUCCCCGUCGCUCAGCGAGCCUCCGGAAAGUUCUCCCUGCGUGGAGCGCUGGCAUCAGGAGCCAAAUCCAUGCAGAGGCAGUGUGGUGGAGGAGCUAUGGGGCCUGGAGCUGGAGCUAUGGCCUCUGCGGUGGCUGGUGCACCAUUAUGGAGGCAGCAGGACAGGCAAGUGAAGAGUCCACAUAGGCCUUGUGGUGGAGCUAUGGGAUAUGUGGUGGAGCUUUAUUAUCAUAUGGCGGGCUACUGCCAGGGUCAUUGGCAUUGGGGAUACUAGUCACUCUGUAAUCAAUUGAAUUAUGAAUUAAAUGCUCCAAUCCACUGAGUAGUAGAUCUUCAGCGGAUAUUGGAAGAGAAAUAACAGGGUGUGUGCCUGCUUAACUAGACCCAGUGGUACCAAGCCACAUUGCAACUGUAGAAAAACAU